UGACGGUACCCUUUCGAAUAAGAGGUUGCUAACUCUGUGCCAGCAAGCAGCGGUACUACAAGAGACCUCGAGCGUCAUCCGGAUUCACUGGGCGUAAAAGCGUCUGUAGGGGGGUUAGUCACGUUCCAAGUUAAAAAUCUUAAGGGUCACCUUUAAGUUCGGCUUUGGAAAACUUAUAAACUGGAGUCCCAGCAGAGGUGCAUGGAACUUGCGGUGUAGGAGUGAAAUCCGUUGAUAUCGCAAGGAACACCAAAGGCGAAGGCAUUGCACUGGGCUGGUACUGACCCUGAGAGACGAAAGCGUGGGGAGCAAAACGGAUUAGAUACCCGUGUAGUCCACGCCGUAAACGAUGGAUACUAGAUGUUCCGGGGAUUCGACCCCCUGGGUGUCACAGCUAACGCGUUAAGUAUCCCGCCUGGGAAGUACGGCCGCAAGGCUAAAACUCAAAGGAAUAGACGGGGAUCCGCACAAGCGGUGGAGCGUCUGGUUUAAUUUGAUAGUAAGCAAUGGACCUCACCAAGGUUUGACAUCCUAUGACAACCCUGGAAACAGGGCUUCCUUCGGGCAUAGUGACAGGUGCUGCAUGGUCGUCGUCAGUUCGUGCCGUGAGGUGUUCCGUUAAGUCGGGAAACGAACGAAACCCUCGUCGCAUGUUACAAAUUUCAUGCGAGACUGCCCGGGUCAACCGGGAGGAAGGCGGGGAUGACGUCAGAUCAGCAUGGCCCUUAUACCUUGGGCUACACAGGCGCUACAAUGUCCGGUACAAAGGGUUGCAAAACCGCGAGGUGAAGCUAAUCCCAUAAAGCCGGUCCAAGUUCGGAUUGGAGGCUGCAACUCGCCUCCAUGAAGUUGGAAUCGCUAGUAAUCGUGGAUCAGCCAUACCACGGUGAAUACGUUCCCGGAUCUUGUACUCACCGCCCGUCACACCAAGAGAGUUGGUAG
Molecule: ribosomal RNA, 942 nt
Filed under: uncultured organism
Description: bacterial SSU rRNA
Rfam family: Bacterial small subunit ribosomal RNA
Source: RNAcentral